UUUGAGGGGAAUGUUGUUUGGCUCGAGGCCACCAACUUCAUCUAAUGUAAGCAACUCUUGUUAGUGUCGUCGGACCAGGCUUCAUUCCCCUCAAA
Solanum tuberosum (potato) is the source of this 95-nucleotide non-coding RNA. NCBI's taxonomy places the organism in Eukaryota, Viridiplantae, Streptophyta, Magnoliopsida, Solanales, Solanaceae. The record is from Rfam.